RNAcentral lists this ribosomal RNA (478 nucleotides) under uncultured bacterium. Its description in RNAcentral is "partial 16S ribosomal RNA". It matches the Rfam family "Bacterial small subunit ribosomal RNA", at positions 28 to 523 of the family's 1533-position model. The record is from RNAcentral.
GACGAACGCUGGCGGCGUGCUUAACACAUGCAAGUCGAACGGUAAGGCCCUUCGGGGUACACGAGUGGCGAACGGGUGAGUAACACGUGGGUGAUCUGCCCUGCACUUCGGGAUAAGCCUGGGAAACUGGGUCUAAUACCGGAUAGGACCACUGCCUGCAUGGGUGGUGGUGGAAAGCUUUUGCGGUGUGGGAUGGGCCCGCGGCCUAUCAGCUUGUUGGUGGGGUGACGGCCUACCAAGGCGACGACGGGUAGCCGGCCUGAGAGGGUGACCGGCCACCCUGGGAUUGAGAUACGGCCCGGACUCCUACGGUAGGCAGCAGGGGUGAAGAUUGCACAAUGGGCGCGAGCCUGAUGCAGCGAGGCCGCGUGAGGGAUGAUGGCCUUCGGUUUGUAAACCUCUUUCAGCACCGACGAAGCGCAAGUGACGGUAGGUGCAGAAGAAGGACCGGCCAACUACGUGCCAGCCGCCGCGGUAA